RNAcentral lists this ribosomal RNA (998 nucleotides) under Borreliella bissettiae. Its description in RNAcentral is "bacterial SSU rRNA". It matches the Rfam family "Bacterial small subunit ribosomal RNA", at positions 108 to 1096 of the family's 1533-position model. The record is from RNAcentral. Lineage: Bacteria; Pseudomonadati; Spirochaetota; Spirochaetia; Spirochaetales; Borreliaceae.
GAGUAACGCGUGGAUGAUCUACCUAUGAGAUGGGGAUAACUAUUAGAAAUAGUAGCUAAUACCGAAUAAAGUCAAUUAAUUUGUUAAUUGAUGAAAGGAAGCCUUUAAAGCUUCGCUUGUAGAUGAGUCUGCGUCUUAUUAGCUAGUUGGUAGGGUAAAUGCCUACCAAGGCGAUGAUAAGUAACCGGCCUGAGAGGGUGAACGGUCACACUGGAACUGAGAUACGGUCCAGACUCCUACGGGAGGCAGCAGCUAAGAAUCUUCCGCAAUGGGCGAAAGCCUGACGGAGCGACACUGCGUGAAUGAAGAAGGUCGAAAGAUUGUAAAAUUCUUUUAUAAAUGAGGAAUAAGCUUUGUAGGAAAUGACAAAGUGAUGACGUUAAUUUAUGAAUAAGCCCCGGCUAAUUACGUGCCAGCAGCCGCGGUAAUACGUAAGGGGCGAGCGUUGUUCGGGAUUAUUGGGCGUAAAGGGUGAGUAGGCGGAUAUAUAAGUCUAUGCAUAAAAUACCACAGCUCAACUGUGGACCUAUGUUGGAAACUAUAUGUCUAGAGUCUGAUAGAGGAAGUUAGAAUUUCUGGUGUAAGGGUGGAAUCUGUUGAUAUCAGAAAGAAUACCGGAGGCGAAGGCGAACUUCUGGGUCAAGACUGACGCUGAGUCACGAAAGCGUAGGGAGCAAACAGGAUUAGAUACCCUGGUAGUCUACGCUGUAAACGAUGCACACUUGGUGUUAACUAAAAGUUAGUACCGAAGCUAACGUGUUAAGUGUGCCGCCUGGGGAGUAUGCUCGCAAGAGUGAAACUCAAAGGAAUUGACNGGGGGCCCGCACAAGCGGUGGAGCAUGUGGUUUAAUUCGAUGAUACGCGAGGAACCUUACCAGGGCUUGACAUAUAUAGGAUAUAGUUAGAGAUAAUUAUUCCCCGUUUGGGGUCUAUAUACAGGUGCUGCAUGGUUGUCGUCAGCUCGUGCUGUGAGGUGUUGGGUUAAGUCCCGCAACGAG